UCUGUUUCUUCUUCUUCUUCUUCUA
RNAcentral lists this small RNA (25 nucleotides) under Arabidopsis thaliana (thale cress). RNAcentral's name for it is "ATSL008190". The record is from RNAcentral. Lineage: Eukaryota; Viridiplantae; Streptophyta; Magnoliopsida; Brassicales; Brassicaceae.